UCCCUGGUGGCUCAGAGGUUAAAGCGUCUGCCUGCAAUGCAGAUGAGGGUUCGAUCCCUGAGCUGGGAA
This 69-nucleotide transfer RNA is filed under the name Bos taurus (domestic cattle). It matches the Rfam family "tRNA". Rfam says of the family: Transfer RNA (tRNA) molecules are approximately 80 nucleotides in length. Their secondary structure includes four short double-helical elements and three loops (D, anti-codon, and T loops). Lineage: Eukaryota; Metazoa; Chordata; Mammalia; Artiodactyla; Bovidae. The record is from Rfam by way of RNAcentral. RNAcentral also lists the same sequence under 3 other names.